ACGGGAACUGCACGACCGCAAAUCUGACUCGCCGUGAAUUUCAACGGCUUGGGAUUGCGGCCGUGU
RNAcentral lists this non-coding RNA (66 nucleotides) under unclassified sequences. RNAcentral's name for it is "S15-Halobacteria ribosomal protein leader". It matches the Rfam family "S15-Halobacteria ribosomal protein leader". The record is from RNAcentral.